Molecule: ribosomal RNA, 483 nt
Filed under: uncultured bacterium
Lineage: Bacteria
Description: partial 16S ribosomal RNA
Rfam family: Bacterial small subunit ribosomal RNA
Source: RNAcentral
GACGAACGCUGGCGGCGUGCUUAACACAUGCAAGUCUAACGGUGAAGCCCAGCUUGCUGGGUGGAUCAGUGGCGAACGGGUGAGUAACACGUGAGUAACCUGCCUCUGACUCUGGGACAAGCCUUGGAAACGGGGUCUAAUACUGGAUACGAGACGCUCGGGCAUCCAAAGUGUCUGGACAGAUUUAUCGGUCAGAGAUGGACUCGCGGCCUAUCAGCUUGUUGGUGGGGUAAUGGCCUACCAAGGCGACGACGGGUAGCCGGCCUGAGAGGGCGACCGGCCACACUGGGACUGAGACACGGCCCAGACUCCUACGGGAGGCAGCAGUGGGGAAUAUCGCACAAUGGGCGCAAGCCUGAUGCAGCGACGCCGCGUGAGGGAUGACGGCCUUCGGGUUGUAAACCUCUUUCAGCAGGGAAGAAGCGAAAGUGACGGUACCUGCAGAAGAAGCGCCGGCUAACUACGUGCCAGCAGCCGCCGUAA